AGCCCGGCUAAUUGUAUGGCCCCACGUAGGACGUCAGGGCCUGCCCCCUGGGUCCUGACUCCCGGUCUGGGGCUCUACCUCUGCCUCUCCAAGCUCGCCUACAGCGGAAAGCAGGGGUGCUGUUCUAGGCGCUGAGGAUGCAGCCGUGCACAAGACGGAUGAAAUCCCUGCCCUCAGGGGCCGACAUUUGCGGAGUAAAUAAAGGAAAGGCCAACAUGAACAGCUGAUUUGGAUACCAUCAAGACACCUGAAAUUUUAGCAUGAGCCAGAUGCCAAGGAAGAGACUCCGGGAGGAUCCUGAGGACCCCCCGGUUGCAGCCAUGUCGAGGCUGAUGCUGAGGAGGACCCCAACUGUCACAAGCAACACCCGUCGAACACAGCCACCCAGCUGGGGACAGAUCAAGAAGCUGUCACAGAUGAUGGAAGAAAACCUGAGGAAAGCGGGACACCCACUCAGAAUGAGUAAUG
This is a long non-coding RNA of Pan troglodytes (chimpanzee), 468 nucleotides long. RefSeq lists it as uncharacterized. NCBI's taxonomy places the organism in Eukaryota, Metazoa, Chordata, Mammalia, Primates, Hominidae. The transcript is spliced from 3 exons. The record is from RefSeq and is a predicted model, not a curated record.